Danio rerio (zebrafish) is the source of this 230-nucleotide non-coding RNA. Lineage: Eukaryota; Metazoa; Chordata; Actinopteri; Cypriniformes; Danionidae. The record is from RefSeq and is a predicted model, not a curated record.
UUUCAGAUGCAGAAACUUUUGACAUAUGAAUUCAUCUUGACUAAGGAACUCUUCACAGCACUGCAUCUGAACAGUCACAACCUCACAGAGCUGCACAACUGCCCCACUCAAGAUCAGUAUUGAACCUGGAAUCUCAUCUUGUGUACAGCAAAGGCAGAGCUGAAAAUUCACUGUUUGUCUUGUAUUGUGUGUGGCAAAACCUGGAAUAACACAUGGGAGCCCUCCAGGAA